UCGUUGGGUUUGCGCUCUCUUCUCCCAAUAGUUCCGAACACUAGCAGAUUCAGGAGCCGCUCGCCUCUUUUCGUCUCUCGGUCUCUGUAUUCUUAUCCAUGGCGUCUACUUUUGUCACAGUGCCAAAACCCUUUCCAUACAAACCCAACGCCCCCUCUCUAUCUUAUAACCAGAGACUACUAGGUCUGCGGAGAAACUCUCUGAGAAUCAACGCCAUUUCCAAGAAAUGGGAGCCGGCCAAGGUGGUUCCGCAAGCUGAUCGAGUGCUUAUUCGUCUGGAGCAGCUGCCCGAG
Molecule: long non-coding RNA, 293 nt
Organism: Juglans regia (Persian walnut)
Lineage: Eukaryota; Viridiplantae; Streptophyta; Magnoliopsida; Fagales; Juglandaceae
Exons: 3
Source: RefSeq, a predicted model, not a curated record